This 58-nucleotide transfer RNA is filed under the name Salmo salar (Atlantic salmon). It matches the Rfam family "tRNA", at positions 8 to 63 of the family's 71-position model. From Rfam's summary of the family: Transfer RNA (tRNA) molecules are approximately 80 nucleotides in length. Their secondary structure includes four short double-helical elements and three loops (D, anti-codon, and T loops). Further hydrogen bonds mediate the characteristic L-shaped molecular structure. tRNAs have two regions of fundamental functional importance: the anti-codon, which is responsible for specific mRNA codon recognition, and the 3' end, to which the tRNAs corresponding amino acid is attached (by aminoacyl-tRNA synthetases). tRNAs cope with the degeneracy of the genetic code in two manners: having more than one tRNA (with a specific anti-codon) for a particular amino acid; and 'wobble' base-pairing, i.e. permitting non-standard base-pairing at the 3rd anti-codon position. The record is from Rfam by way of RNAcentral. Lineage: Eukaryota; Metazoa; Chordata; Actinopteri; Salmoniformes; Salmonidae.
UGGCUCAGGUCGUAGAGCGUGGCACUUGCAAAGCCAGGGUUGUGGGUUUGAUUCCCAC